UUAAGCGACUAAGCGUACACGGUGGAUGCCCUGGCAGUCAGAGGCGAUGAAGGACGUGCUAAUCUGCGAUAAGCGUCGGUGAGGUGAUAUGAACCGUUAUAACCGGCGAUUUCCGAAUGGGGAAACCCAGUGUGUUUCGACACACUAUCAUUAACUGAAUCCAUAGGUUAAUGAGGCGAACCGGGGGAACUGAAACAUCUAAGUACCCCGAGGAAAAGAAAUCAACCGAGAUUCCCCCAGUAGCGGCGAGCGAACGGGGAGGAGCCCAGAGCCUGAAUCAGUGUGUGUGUUAGUGGAAGUGUCUGGAAAGGCGCGCGAUACAGGGUGACAGCCCCGUACACAAAAAUGCACAUGCUGUGAGCUCGAUGAGUAGGGCGGGACACGUGGUAUCCUGUCUGAAUAUGGGGGGACCAUCCUCCAAGGCUAAAUACUCCUGACUGACCGAUAGUGAACCAGUACCGUGAGGGAAAGGCGAAAAGAACCCCGGCGAGGGGAGUGAAAAAGAACCUGAAACCGUGUACGUACAAGCAGUGGGAGCCUCUUAAUGGGGUGACUGCGUACCUUUUGUAUAAUGGGUCAGCGACUUAUAUUCUGUAGCAAGGUUAACCGAAUAGGGGAGCCGAAGGGAAACCGAGUCUUAACUGGGCGUUAAGUUGCAGGGUAUAGACCCGAAACCCGGUGAUCUAGCCAUGGGCAGGUUGAAGGUUGGGUAACACUAACUGGAGGACCGAACCGACUAAUGUUGAAAAAUUAGCGGAUGACUUGUGGCUGGGGGUGAAAGGCCAAUCAAACCGGGAGAUAGCUGGUUCUCCCCGAAAGCUAUUUAGGUAGCGCCUCGUGAAUUCAUCUCCGGGGGUAGAGCACUGUUUCGGCAAGGGGGUCAUCCCGACUUACCAACCCGAUGCAAACUGCGAAUACCGGAGAAUGUUAUCACGGGAGACACACGGCGGGUGCUAACGUCCGUCGUGAAGAGGGAAACAACCCAGACCGCCAGCUAAGGUCCCAAAGUCAUGGUUAAGUGGGAAACGAUGUGGGAAGGCCCAGACAGCCAGGAUGUUGGCUUAGAAGCAGCCAUCAUUUAAAGAAAGCGUAAUAGCUCACUGGUCGAGUCGGCCUGCGCGGAAGAUGUAACGGGGCUAAACCAUGCACCGAAGCUGCGGCAGCGACACUGUGUGUUGUUGGGUAGGGGAGCGUUCUGUAAGCCUGCGAAGGUGUGCUGUGAGGCAUGCUGGAGGUAUCAGAAGUGCGAAUGCUGACAUAAGUAACGAUAAAGCGGGUGAAAAGCCCGCUCGCCGGAAGACCAAGGGUUCCUGUCCAACGUUAAUCGGGGCAGGGUGAGUCGACCCCUAAGGCGAGGCCGAAAGGCGUAGUCGAUGGGAAACAGGUUAAUAUUCCUGUACUUGGUGUUACUGCGAAGGGGGGACGGAGAAGGCUAUGUUGGCCGGGCGACGGUUGUCCCGGUUUAAGCGUGUAGGCUGGUUUUCCAGGCAAAUCCGGAAAACCAAGGCUGAGGCGUGAUGACGAGGCACUACGGUGCUGAAGCGACAAAUGCCCUGCUUCCAGGAAAAGCCUCUAAGCAUCAGGUAACAUCAAAUCGUACCCCAAACCGACACAGGUGGUCAGGUAGAGAAUACCAAGGCGCUUGAGAGAACUCGGGUGAAGGAACUAGGCAAAAUGGUGCCGUAACUUCGGGAGAAGGCACGCUGAUAUGUAGGUGAAGCGACUUGCUCGUGGAGCUGAAAUCAGUCGAAGAUACCAGCUGGCUGCAACUGUUUAUUAAAAACACAGCACUGUGCAAACACGAAAGUGGACGUAUACGGUGUGACGCCUGCCCGGUGCCGGAAGGUUAAUUGAUGGGGUUAGCGGCAACGCGAAGCUCUUGAUCGAAGCCCCGGUAAACGGCGGCCGUAACUAUAACGGUCCUAAGGUAGCGAAAUUCCUUGUCGGGUAAGUUCCGACCUGCACGAAUGGCGUAAUGAUGGCCAGGCUGUCUCCACCCGAGACUCAGUGAAAUUGAACUCGCUGUGAAGAUGCAGUGUACCCGCGGCAAGACGGAAAGACCCCGUGAACCUUUACUAUAGCUUGACACUGAACAUUGAGCCUUGAUGUGUAGGAUAGGUGGGAGGCUUUGAAGUGUGGACGCCAGUCUGCAUGGAGCCGACCUUGAAAUACCACCCUUUAAUGUUUGAUGUUCUAACGUUGGCCCCUAAUCGGGGUUGCGGACAGUGUCUGGUGGGUAGUUUGACUGGGGCGGUCUCCUCCUAAAGAGUAACGGAGGAGCACGAAGGUUGGCUAAUCCUGGUCGGACAUCAGGAGGUUAGUGCAAUGGCAUAAGCCAGCUUGACUGCGAGCGUGACGGCGCGAGCAGGUGCGAAAGCAGGUCAUAGUGAUCCGGUGGUUCUGAAUGGAAGGGCCAUCGCUCAACGGAUAAAAGGUACUCCGGGGAUAACAGGCUGAUACCGCCCAAGAGUUCAUAUCGACGGCGGUGUUUGGCACCUCGAUGUCGGCUCAUCACAUCCUGGGGCUGAAGUAGGUCCCAAGGGUAUGGCUGUUCGCCAUUUAAAGUGGUACGCGAGCUGGGUUUAGAACGUCGUGAGACAGUUCGGUCCCUAUCUGCCGUGGGCGCUGGAGAACUGAGGGGGGCUGCUCCUAGUACGAGAGGACCGGAGUGGACGCAUCACUGGUGUUCGGGUUGUCAUGCCAAUGGCACUGCCCGGUAGCUAAAUGCGGAAGAGAUAAGUGCUGAAAGCAUCUAAGCACGAAACUUGCCCCGAGAUGAGUUCUCCCUGAGACUUAGAGUCUCCUGAAGGAACGUUGAAGACGACGACGUUGAUAGGCCGGGUGUGUAAGCGCAGCGAUGCGUUGAGCUAACCGGUACUAAUGAACCGUGAGGCUUAACCUU
RNAcentral lists this ribosomal RNA (2902 nucleotides) under Escherichia coli. Its description in RNAcentral is "bacterial LSU rRNA". It matches the Rfam family "Bacterial large subunit ribosomal RNA". Lineage: Bacteria; Pseudomonadati; Pseudomonadota; Gammaproteobacteria; Enterobacterales; Enterobacteriaceae. The record is from RNAcentral.